RNAcentral lists this ribosomal RNA (460 nucleotides) under uncultured bacterium. RNAcentral describes it as "partial 16S ribosomal RNA". It matches the Rfam family "Bacterial small subunit ribosomal RNA", at positions 338 to 795 of the family's 1533-position model. The record is from RNAcentral.
CCUACGGGUGGCAGCAGUGAGGAAUAUUGGUCAAUGGACGAGAGUCUGAACCAGCCAAGUAGCGUGAAGGAUGACUGCCCUAUGGGUUGUAAACUUCUUUUAUAUGGGAAUAAAACAGGGUAUGCAUACCCUCUUGUAUGUACCAUAUGAAUAAGGAUCGGCUAACACCGUUCCAGCAGCCGCGGUAAUACGGAGGAUCCGAUCGUUAUCCGGAUUUAUUGUGUUUAAAGGGAGCGUAGGUGGAUGUUUACGUCAGUUGUGAAAGUUUGGGGCUCAACCGUAAAAUUGCAGUUGAAACUGGCAGUCGUGAGUACAGUAGAGGUGGGCGGAAUUCGUGGUGUAGCGGUGAAAUGCUUAGAGAGCACGAAGAACUCCGAUUGCGAAGGCAGCUCACUGGACUGCAACUGACACUGAUGCUCGAAAGUGUGGGUAUCAAACAGGAUUAGAUACCCUUGUAGUC